RNAcentral lists this ribosomal RNA (253 nucleotides) under uncultured bacterium. RNAcentral describes it as "partial 16S ribosomal RNA". It matches the Rfam family "Bacterial small subunit ribosomal RNA", at positions 524 to 776 of the family's 1533-position model. The record is from RNAcentral.
UACGUAGGGGCCAAGCGUUGUUCGGAUUUACUGGGCGUAAAGGGCGCGUAGGCGGCGUGUUAAGUCACUUGUGAAAUCUCUAAGCUUAACUUAGAACGGUCAAGUGAUACUGAUGUGCUAGAGUGCAGAAGGGGCAACCGGAAUUCUUGGUGUAGCGGUGAAAUGCGUAGAUAUCAAGAGGAACACCUGAGGUGAAGACGGGUUGCUGGGCUGACACUGACGCUGAGGCGCGAAAGCUAGGGUAGCAAACGGG